RNAcentral lists this ribosomal RNA (207 nucleotides) under uncultured bacterium. RNAcentral describes it as "partial 16S ribosomal RNA". It matches the Rfam family "Bacterial small subunit ribosomal RNA", at positions 1294 to 1500 of the family's 1533-position model. The record is from RNAcentral.
CAGACUGCAGGCUGCAACCCGCCUGCAUGAAGUCGGAAUUGCUAGUAAUCGCGGAUCAGCAUGCCGCGGUGAAUACGUUCCCGGGCCUUGUACACAUCGCCCGUCACACCAUGAGAGCCGGGGGGACCCGAAGUCCGUAGCCUAACCGCAAGGGGGGCGCGGCCGAAGGUAAAACUGGUGAUUGGGGUGAAGUCGUAACAAGGUAAC